Molecule: ribosomal RNA, 242 nt
Filed under: uncultured bacterium
Lineage: Bacteria
Description: partial 16S ribosomal RNA
Rfam family: Bacterial small subunit ribosomal RNA
Source: RNAcentral
UGACGAGUGGCGGACGGGUGAGUAAUGCAUAGGAAUCUGCCUUGUAGUGGGGAAUAGCUUGGGGAAACUCAAGAUAAUACCGCAUAAGAACUAAGGUUGAAAGCUGGGGAUCUUCGGACCUGGCGCUACAAGAUGAGCCUAUGUUGGAUUAGCUAGUUGGUGGGGUAAAGGCCUACCAAGGCGACGAUCCAUAGCUGGUCUGAGAGGAUGAUCAGCCACACUGGGACUGAGACACGGCCCAG